Tachysurus fulvidraco (yellow catfish) is the source of this 1297-nucleotide long non-coding RNA. RefSeq lists it as uncharacterized. Lineage: Eukaryota; Metazoa; Chordata; Actinopteri; Siluriformes; Bagridae. The transcript is spliced from 3 exons. The record is from RefSeq and is a predicted model, not a curated record.
CCCACACUUUCAAUGUUGUUUCAACAGCAGCUACGUCAACAUCUUUCUCCGAAGUGGAGAUGCAGACAUCAUAAACACAGGAAGAGGAAGAGGAGGGAGCGCCUUUGGUGAAAACAUGCAUUAAUAUCAAUAGAUGCAGUCAAAAUCGAGGACUUUUUUCGGGAGAAUUUUAAGACCCCAUCAUCACAUUUUCCACUUUAUAAUGAUGUGACUGUUUUUAAUGCUUCUUAAAUCUCCUUCACACCGAAUGUCACCAUCAUCCUUGGAGUCCCAGUGAGCACAACAUGCCCUAAUCAAAAAGGAAACUCCAGGACAGCUCACUAAAAUAGAAAUAAAUCCAGCUACAGAUAUGUCUCUAAGGCUCUGGGAUGCCACUGAUCCACAGACAGAGACGGAUAAUCAGAGUCAGUUCCCAAGCAGAGGAAAGACUUACAAUAUGAACAGCAGUGAACAUUCCCACGAUCUUUCAAGGAACCUGUUAACAUUUCUCCAAGGCAAAUCAUGUCCACAAACUUCAGCAGGCUUCACAGGCCUCGGUUCGUCCAGCCGUUAUGACCUUGACCUAAAAAAAGGCAGCUGGGUUUAUGGGUGAUUAACACAAAUAACCAUCAAGCUCUUCCCAAAGACUUUGGUUUUAUUUUUAGGAAUAUUACAUGAACGAGUGACGGCGGAUCACAAUUUGGAAAGGAGACAGUUCUACUGGAAAAAUUCUACUGCAGAUCAGGAGUUUGAGUAAAAAGAAAAGCUUCAUUUGUUUCUAGCGACAGGUUGGUUCAAAACUUUACACAAUCCACACUUUGGUGAGGUCUUGUAGACCCUCUCUGACUUGUAGACCCUCUCUAACUUGUAGACCCUCUCUGACUUGUAGACUAGUGAUGGCCAGUUCGUGAACGAAUCGUUCUUUUGAACCGGUUCUUUUUAGUGAACUGGAUGAACCGGUUCACCAAAUCGUUCGUCUUGAGUCAGCGCUUGAGUCAUCCACAAGUUACUAAAGUUACACACUUUCGGUCAUGUCUGACAUCCCCUCCGACUGUAAAUAAACUAAUAUCCCGGAGUAUAUGUAACUCCUGUACACAGAACUGAGACAUGUUGUGAGCUUGAGCUGUUGAUACUGCGCAUGCGUGAAUUAUUGAACCGAUACAGCGAAUUAUCUGUACAGAACUGAGAACAGCUUUUUUCGGACGCGUCCGAGAACCGAUGAACUGGUACAGCGAAUCAUCAGUACACUGAACGAACUGUUUCGGACGCCAUACAUUUUCGGUCCGACAUACUGUUGAUGCUGCGCAUGCGUGAACCU